GUUUCUGUAGUGUAGUGGUCAUCAUGUUUGCCUAAAACGCAAUAGGUCCCCAGUUCGAAACUGGGUGGAAACA
Molecule: transfer RNA, 73 nt
Filed under: Danionella translucida
Lineage: Eukaryota; Metazoa; Chordata; Actinopteri; Cypriniformes; Danionidae
Also listed under: 1 other name
Rfam family: tRNA
About the family: Transfer RNA (tRNA) molecules are approximately 80 nucleotides in length. Their secondary structure includes four short double-helical elements and three loops (D, anti-codon, and T loops).
Source: Rfam by way of RNAcentral